UGCACACAGCCUUGCAGCGCAUUCAAAUGGUACUCAAUCCAUUAUUAUUAUUUUUUUCUCCCGUUUAUUUUCUUUCAGAGACCAUGAUGGUAAGGAGCAGGAGAUACUGUAGUUCUUGAACCUGUCCUAGGUGCAAUAACCAAUCUGUAAUUGGGAGUACCCUGUUGCUGUAGCAGGUCAGAGUGGCUUUUUCCAGUAGAGAGAAACCCCUGGACAGGGACAACAGCAGAGGGACUGGUAGCCAAACGGGUGCAGCAUUUCGUACAUCAGUUUCUAUUCUGUGGAAUGGCUAAGCAGCAAAUGUCAAGCACAUACAGUUAUAUUCCACUGAAUAUCAGUGAAGGAAAAAG
Molecule: long non-coding RNA, 350 nt
Filed under: Pogona vitticeps (central bearded dragon)
Lineage: Eukaryota; Metazoa; Chordata; Lepidosauria; Squamata; Agamidae
Description: lncRNA (ENSPVIG00000012630.1)
Source: RNAcentral